ACGGGUGAGUAACGCGUAGGAAUAUGCCUUAAAGAGGGGGAUAACUUGGGGAAACUCAAGCUAAUACCGCAUAAUCUCUGAGGAGGAAAGCUGGGGACCUUCGGGCCUGGCGCUUUAAGAGUAGCCUGCGUCCGAUUAACUAGUUGGUGGGGUAAAGGCCUACCAAGGCGACGAUCGGUAGCUGGUCUAAGAGGAUGGACAGCCACACUGGGACUGAGACACGGCCCAGACUCCUACGGGAGGCAGCAGUGGGGAAUAUUGGACAAUGGGGGCAACCCUGAUCCAGCAAUGCCGCGUGUGUGAAGAAGGCCUGAGGGUUGUAAAGCACUUUUGGUGGGGAGGAGAGGCGACUGGUUAAGAGCUAGUUGAAGAGACGUUACCCACAGAAGAAGCACCGGCAAACUCCGUGCCAGCAGCCGCGGUAAUACGGAGGGUGCGAGCGUUAAUCGGAAUUACUGGGCGUAAAGGGUGCGUAGGUGGUUAAUUAAGUUAUCUGUGAAAUACCCGGGCUUAACCUGGGCAGGUCAGAUAAGACUGGUUGACUUGAGUAUGGGAGAGGGUAGUGGAAUUUCCGGUGU
RNAcentral lists this ribosomal RNA (578 nucleotides) under uncultured bacterium. Its description in RNAcentral is "bacterial SSU rRNA". It matches the Rfam family "Bacterial small subunit ribosomal RNA", at positions 102 to 676 of the family's 1533-position model. The record is from RNAcentral.